UACGAAGGGUGCAAACGUUGCUCGGAAUCAUUGGGCGUAAAGCGCACGUAGGCGGCUUGCCAAGUCGGACGUGAAAUCUCUCAGCUCAACUGAGGACGUGCAUCCGAAACUGGCGAGCUUGAGUACUGAAGAGGAUCGCGGAAUUCCCGGUGUAGAGGUGAAAUUCGUAGAUAUCGGGAGGAACACCAGUGGCGAAGGCGGCGAUCUGGGCAGAUACUGACGCUGAGGUGCGAAAGCGUGGGGAGCAAACAGG
RNAcentral lists this ribosomal RNA (253 nucleotides) under uncultured bacterium. Its description in RNAcentral is "partial 16S ribosomal RNA". It matches the Rfam family "Bacterial small subunit ribosomal RNA", at positions 524 to 776 of the family's 1533-position model. The record is from RNAcentral.